Molecule: ribosomal RNA, 1359 nt
Filed under: uncultured organism
Description: bacterial SSU rRNA
Rfam family: Bacterial small subunit ribosomal RNA
Source: RNAcentral
GCUGGCGGCGCGCUUAAUGCAUGCAAGUCGCACGAUCCAGACUUCGGUCUGGGGAGUGGCGCACGGCUGAGGAACACGUGGGUUACCUGCCCUGGCGUGGGGGAUAACGGCCCGAAAGGGACGCUAAUCCCGCAUACGCUCCUUCGGGAGGAAAGCAGUGAUGCGCGCCAGGAUGGGCCUGCGGCCCAUCAGGUCGUUGGUGGGGUAACGGCUCACCAAGCCAAUGACGGGUACCUGGUCUGAGAGGACGACCAGGCAGACUGGGACUGAGACACGGCCCAGACUCCUACGGGAGGCAGCAGCAAGGAAUUUUCCGCAAUGGGCGCAAGCCUGACGGAGCAACGCCGCGUGCCGGAUGACGGCCUUCGGGUUGUAAACGGCUUUUCUCAGGGAAGACAUGGACGGUACCUGAGGAAUAAGCCCCGGCUAACUCCGUGCCAGCAGCCGCGGUAAUACGGAGGGGGCAAGCGUUGUCCGGACUUACUGGGCGUAAAGCGUGCGUAGGCGGCCGCGUGCGUCGGGACUGAAAGCGCCCCGCUUAACGGGGCGAGGCGUCUCGAUACGACGCAGCUCGAGGCAGGGAGAGGUUGGUAGAAUUCCGGGUGUAGUUGUGAAAUGCGUAGAUAUCCGGAGGAAUACCGGUGGCGUAGGCGACCAACUGGCCCUGGCCUGACGCUGAGGCACGAAAGCGUGGGGAGCAAACCGGAUUAGAUACCCGGGUAGUCCACGCCGUAAACGAUGUCGGCUUGGUGUUUGAUGGUGUGAAAGCGCUGUUGAGUACCGAAGCUCACGCGAUAAGCCGACCGCCUGGGGACUACGAGCGCAAGCUUAAAACUCAGAGGAAUUGACGGGGGCCCGCACAAGCAGCGGAGCGUGUGGUUUAAUUCGACGCAACGCGAAGAACCUUACCCAGGUUUGACAUGUGGCUGCAAGCGCACAGAAAUGUGUGACCUUCGAGGGUGCCACACAGGUGCUGCAUGGCUGUCGUCAGCUCGUGUCGUGAGAUGUUGGGUUAAGUCCCGCAACGAGCGCAACCCCUGCUGCCAGUUACCAGUGUCUGGCGGGACAGCCAUCUAUAGAGGUGGAGGAAGGCGGGGAUGACGUCAAGUCCGCAUGGCCCUUACACCUGGGGCGACACACACGCUACAAUGGCCGGUACAAUGCGUUGCAAGCAGGCAACUGCAAGCUAAUCGCCCAAAGCCGGUCCCAGUACAGAUCGGGGGCUGCAACUCGCCCCCGUGAAGGCGGAGUUGCUAGUAACCGCGCAUCAGCCAUGGUGCGGUGAAUGCGUGCCCGGGCCUGUACACACCGCCCGUCACGUCAUGGGAGUCGGUAAUGCCUGAAGUCCAUGGGCUAACC